Molecule: long non-coding RNA, 731 nt
Filed under: Sus scrofa (pig)
Lineage: Eukaryota; Metazoa; Chordata; Mammalia; Artiodactyla; Suidae
Description: lncRNA (ENSSSCG00005006194.1)
Source: RNAcentral
AGGGCUCUGGCUCAGGUCUCUCCUUUCUAGUUCUCUCUUCAGUGCCCAGUGAAUUUAAAGCUCUUGGAAUAAAAAAGGAGGGAAGGUCAGAAGAAUUUCACAGCCCCUUGGUGAAUAGUAGACGAGUGAUCAGCAGUGAAUCCAGUGAUGAAGAUGGGCCCCCCAAGCCUGGAGCUCAGCAUCAAGUUGUGGACCACAUGAGGUGGGUGAUGAUGGCCAGCUUUGGAGCUAUGGAAUCUCAGGCACCUGAAUUCAGAGCUCUUGUUUCCUGAAUGCAUUUUACUUUGAGUGCACUUCACAGCCAAUGGUUCAGCUCCUCCUGGGAACCUGUUCUCUGCAUUUACCUCAUGUGGCACUUUGGGAAAUGUGGCGGGCAAGCCCUUAUUCAUUGAAUAUGUGUGUUCAUGCGUAGACAUUAGAGUAGAAAUGAGCUAGCAUAUUUAUUUGUUUUUUUCCCUUUUACAUGAUCAUGCCUAUUGUGGUAUAAUAAAAAUUUGCAUUUGAUCCUUUCUCUAGUUCUUGGAACAGAGAUCCCCAAAUCCUUAGAAUUUCCUGAGUGAUGAGUGUCUUUUAAAAAUCAACCACAUGAUUAGAGGGUUAGAACUUUUAGCUCCACUCUUUGACCUCUGGGGAAAAAAGAAAGGUUGGAGAUUGAGUUCAUUCACCAAUGGCCAGUUAUUUAAUUGAUCAUGCCUACAUAAUUAAACCUCAAUAAGAACCCCUAAAUGUAG